UCGGACGAACGCUGGCGGCGUGCCUAAUACAUGCAAGUAGAACGCUGAAGAGAGGAGCUUGCUCUUCUUGGAUGAGUUGCGAACGGGUGAGUAACGCGUAGGUAACCUGCCUUGUAGCGGGGGAUAACUAUUGGAAACGAUAGCUAAUACCGCAUAACAAUGGAUGACACAUGUCAUUUAUUUGAAAGGGGCAAUUGCUCCACUACAAGAUGGACCUGCGUUGUAUUAGCUAGUAGGUGAGGUAAUGGCUCACCUAGGCGACGAUACAUAGCCGACCUGAGAGGGUGAUCGGCCACACUGGGACUGAGACACGGCCCAGACUCCUACGGGAGGCAGCAGUAGGGAAUCUUCGGCAAUGGGGGCAACCCUGACCGAGCAACGCCGCGUGAGUGAAGAAGGUUUUCGGAUCGUAAAGCUCUGUUGUAAGUCAAGAACGGGUGUGAGAGUGGAAAGUUCACACUGUGACGGUAGCUUACCAGAAAGGGACGGCUAACUACGUGCCAGCAGCCGCGGUAAUACGUAGGUCCCGAGCGUUGUCCGGAUUUAUUGGGCGUAAAGCGAGCGCAGGCGGUUUGAUAAGUCUGAAGUUAAAGGCUGUGGCUCAACCAUAGUUCGCUUUGGAAACUGUCAAACUUGAGUGCAGAAGGGGAGAGUGGAAUUCCAUGUGUAGCGGUGAAAUGCGUAGAUAUAUGGAGGAACACCGGUGGCGAAAGCGGCUCUCUGGUCUGUAACUGACGCUGAGGCUCGAAAGCGUGGGGAGCGAACAGGAUUAGAUACCCUGGUAGUCCACGCCGUAAACGAUGAGUGCUAGGUGUUGGAUCCUUUCCGGGAUUCAGUGCCGCAGCUAACGCAUUAAGCACUCCGCCUGGGGAGUACGACCGCAAGGUUGAAACUCAAAGGAAUUGACGGGGGCCCGCACAAGCGGUGGAGCAUGUGGUUUAAUUCGAAGCAACGCGAAGAACCUUACCAGGUCUUGACAUCCCGAUGCUAUUUCUAGAGAUAGAAAGUUACUUCGGUACAUCGGUGACAGGUGGUGCAUGGUUGUCGUCAGCUCGUGUCGUGAGAUGUUGGGUUAAGUCCCGCAACGAGCGCAACCCCUAUUGUUAGUUGCCAUCAUUCAGUUGGGCACUCUAGCGAGACUGCCGGUAAUAAACCGGAGGAAGGUGGGGAUGACGUCAAAUCAUCAUGCCCCUUAUGACCUGGGCUACACACGUGCUACAAUGGUUGGUACAACGAGUUGCGAGUCGGUGACGGCGAGCUAAUCUCUUAAAGCCAAUCUCAGUUCGGAUUGUAGGCUGCAACUCGCCUACAUGAAGUCGGAAUCGCUAGUAAUCGCGGAUCAGCACGCCGCGGUGAAUACGUUCCCGGGCCUUGUACACACCGCCCGUCACACCACGAGAGUUUGUAACACCCGAAGUCGGUGAGGUAACCUUUUGGAGCCAGCCGCCUAAGGUGGGACAGAUGAUUGGGGUGA
RNAcentral lists this ribosomal RNA (1474 nucleotides) under Streptococcus thermophilus. RNAcentral describes it as "bacterial SSU rRNA". It matches the Rfam family "Bacterial small subunit ribosomal RNA". The record is from RNAcentral. Lineage: Bacteria; Bacillati; Bacillota; Bacilli; Lactobacillales; Streptococcaceae.